Molecule: ribosomal RNA, 497 nt
Filed under: uncultured bacterium
Lineage: Bacteria
Description: partial 16S ribosomal RNA
Rfam family: Bacterial small subunit ribosomal RNA
Source: RNAcentral
GAUGAACGCUGGCGGCGUGCCUAAUACAUGCAAGUCGAGCGAACGGACGAGAAGCUUGCUUCUCUGAUGUUAGCGGCGGACGGGUGAGUAACACGUGGAUAACCUACCUAUAAGACUGGGAUAACUUCGGGAAACCGGGGCUAAUACCGGAUAAUAUUUUGAACCGCAUGGUUCAAAAGUGAAAGACGGUCUUGCUGUCACUUAUAGAUGGAUCCGCGCUGCAUUAGCUAGUUGGUAAGGUAACGGCUUACCAAGGCAACGAUGCAUAGCCGACCUGAGAGGGUGAUCGGCCACACUGGAACUGAGACACGGUCCAGACUCCUACGGGAGGCAGCAGUAGGGAAUCUUCCGCAAUGGGCGAAAGCCUGACGGAGCAACGCCGCGUGAGUGAUGAAGGUCUUCGGAUCGUAAAACUCUGUUAUUAGGGAAGAACAUAUGUGUAAGUAACUGUGCACAUCUUGGCGGUACCUAAUCAGAAAGCCACGGCUAACUACGUG